GAUCCCAUCAGAACUCCGCAGUGAAGCGUGCUUGGGCGAGAGUAUUACUAAGUUCGGUGACCACUUGGGAAGUCCUCGUGUUGCACCCCU
RNAcentral lists this ribosomal RNA (90 nucleotides) under Trichosanthes kirilowii (Chinese cucumber). Lineage: Eukaryota; Viridiplantae; Streptophyta; Magnoliopsida; Cucurbitales; Cucurbitaceae. The record is from RNAcentral.